AGACGGAGGGUGCAAGCGUUAAUCGGAAUUACUGGGCGUAAAGCGCUCGUAGGCGGCCUGUUAAGUCGGAUGUGAAAGCCCCGGGCUCAACCUGGGAACUGCAUUCGAAACUGGCAGGCUAGAGUAUAGUAGAGGCAAGUGGAAUUCCGGGUGUAGCGGUGAAAUGCGUAGAUAUCCGGAGGAACAUCAGUGGCGAAGGCGACUUGCUGGACUAAUACUGACGCUGAGGAGCGAAAGCGUGGGGAGCAAACGGGAUUAGAAACCCCAGUAGUCC
This 274-nucleotide ribosomal RNA is filed under the name uncultured bacterium. RNAcentral's name for it is "partial 16S ribosomal RNA". It matches the Rfam family "Bacterial small subunit ribosomal RNA", at positions 523 to 796 of the family's 1533-position model. The record is from RNAcentral.